Molecule: ribosomal RNA, 468 nt
Filed under: uncultured bacterium
Lineage: Bacteria
Description: partial 16S ribosomal RNA
Rfam family: Bacterial small subunit ribosomal RNA
Source: RNAcentral
GACGAACGCUGGCGGCGUGCUUAACACAUGCAAGUCGAACGGAAAGGCCCUGCUUUUGUUGGGUGCUCGAGUGGCGAACGGGUGAGUAACACGUGAGUAACCUGCCCUUGACUUUGGGAUAACUUCAGGAAACUGGGGCUAAUACCGGAUAGGAGCUCCUGCUGCAUGGUGGGGGUUGGAAAGUUUCGGCGGUUGGGGAUGGACUCGCGGCUUAUCAGCUUGUUGGUGGGGUAGUGGCUUACCAAGGCUUUGACGGGUAGCCGGCCUGAGAGGGUGACCGACCACAAUGGGACUGAGAGACGGACCAGACGCCUACGGGAGGCAGCAGGGGGGAAUAUUGCACAAUGGGCGGAAGCCUGAGGCAGAAACGCCGCGUGCGGGAUGACGGCCUUCGGGUUGUAAACCGCUUUCGACUGUGACGAAGCGUGAGUGACGGUAAUGGGUAAAGAAGCACCGGCUAACUACGUG